GACAGAGGGUGCAAACGUUGCUCGGAAUCACUGGGCGUAAAGGGCGUGUAGGCGGGACGGUAAGUCGGGCGUGAAAUCCCUAGGCUCAACCUAGGAACUGCACUCGAAACUACCAUUCUUGAGUGUCGGAGAGGAAAGCGGAAUUCCUGGUGUAGAGGUGAAAUUCGUAGAUAUCAGGAGGAACACCAGUGGCGAAGGCGGCUUUCUGGACGAUAACUGACGCUGAGACGCGAAAGCGUGGGAGGCAAAC
RNAcentral lists this ribosomal RNA (250 nucleotides) under uncultured bacterium. RNAcentral describes it as "partial 16S ribosomal RNA". It matches the Rfam family "Bacterial small subunit ribosomal RNA", at positions 524 to 773 of the family's 1533-position model. The record is from RNAcentral.